CCAGUGGUCAUAUGCUCGUCUCAAAGACUAAGCCAUGCAUGUCCAAGUUCAUAACUAAUAAAGUUGAAACUGCGAAGCGCUCAGUAAAUCAGUUAUAGUCUGUUCGAUCGUUCAAGCCCAUGGAUAACUGUGGCAAAUCUAUAGCUAAUACAUGUAAAAGCCCCCACCAUAGGGCACAUUUAUUGGCUAACCGACACCGCCCCCAGCAAUGGGGGCAGCAGGUGAAUCUAGAUAACUGUGCUUACCGCAUGGCCUUGCGCCGGCGGUAGUUUGAUCGAAUUUCUGCCCUAUCAACUAGUUGGUAAGGUAGUGGCUUACCAAGGUAGUAACGGGUAACGGGGAAUCAGGGUUCGAUUCCGGAGAGGGAGCCUGAGAAACGGCUACCACAUCCAAGGAAGGCAGCAGGCGCGCAAAUUACCCAAUCCAGACAUUGGGAGGUAGUGACGAGAAAUACUGGGGGCGCUCCAUGUGAGUGCCAUCCGGAAUGAACGUAACACAAAAAAUUCGAUGAGGAUCUACUGGAGGGCAAGUCUGGUGCCAGCAGCCGCGGUAAUUCCAGCUCCAGUAGUGUAUAUCAACAUUGUUGCGCUUAAAACGCUCGUAGUUGGAUUACAGGGCUCCAAACAGGUACGCCGCAUUGGCGUGGUUGGUCGUCGCACGCCCGCACGUCUGGGACACUGUUCUGGGCGUGUGGGUAGCUCGACGGAGCCCUUUUGUCGCACUGGCUCUGGCUGGCGUCUUGAUUGACGCCGGCUAGCCGCCGGUGGAGUGUGCCUUGAAUAAAGCAUAGUGCUCAAAGCAGGCGUACGCUCGUGUGUAAUAGCAUGGAACGAAUAGUUAUUGGCCGCGGGGCGUCAGUUGGUGCGAGCGAUCGCGUCAGCUGUGCGUGCCGUACGGUUCGAUCAGUGUUGGUUGGAAUCGCGGUCUCAACGGUUAAAAGGGACACCUGAGGGCACUAGUACUUUGUGGCGAGAGGUGAAAUUCUUAGACCCACAAAAGACUAACUACUGCGAAAGCAUUUGCCAAGAGUGUUUUCAUUAAUCAAGAACGAAGGUCAGAGGAUCGAAGACGAUCAGAUACCGUCCUAGUUUUGACAGCAAACUAUGCCAGCAUAGGGUCGGAGCGGUCGCUCGUUAACAGCGAGUCGUACCACUGCGGGCCUUACGGGAAACCUAGCUUUCGGGCUGCUGGGAGAAUAUCGCUGCAAGGCUGAAAUUUAAAGAAAUUGACGGAGAGGCACCACCAGGAGUGGAGCCUGCGGCUUAAUUUGACUCAACACGGGGAAACUCACCAGGUCCAGACAUUGGUAGGAUUGACAGACUGGUAGAUCUUUCAUGAUUCAGUGAAUGGUGGUGCAUGGCCGUUCUUAGUUGGUGGAGUGAUCUGUCAGGUCUAUUCCGGUAACGAGCGAGACCACGGCCUUUAGUUGGUGGUGUCGUCAAGCUGUCGGGGGAUGGUCGCAAGGCCGUCUGCCGGCACGGCGACAAGGCCUAACUAGAGGGACUAUUGGCGUUUUAAGCCAGGGGAAGCGUGGCAAUAACAGGUCUGUGAUGCCCUUCGAUGUCCUGGGCUGCACGCGCGCUACAAUGGCAGCAGUAGAGAGUUGGCUGGCCAGAGAUGGUUGGUGAAACUGUAAAUAGCUGUCGUGAUAGGGAUUGAGCCUUGUAAUUUUUGCUCAUGAAAGAGGAAUUCCUCGUAAGCACGAGUCAUCAGCUCGUGUUGAAUACGUCUCUGCCUCUUGUACACACCGCCCGUCGCUACUACCGAUUGAAUUGCUUCUAAAGCUGGCUGGACCGGACUUGCUGCCUUUGGGCGGCGAGCUGGGAGGGUCGACGAUGAUCCAUUAGAGAAGAAAAGUGACA
RNAcentral lists this ribosomal RNA (1862 nucleotides) under Ceratomyxa seriolae. RNAcentral's name for it is "bacterial SSU rRNA". It matches the Rfam family "Eukaryotic small subunit ribosomal RNA". Lineage: Eukaryota; Metazoa; Cnidaria; Myxozoa; Bivalvulida; Ceratomyxidae. The record is from RNAcentral.